GAUCUUAGUGCGACAUAACAUUAAAAAAAGAAAAGACUAAAACCUUAAGAUUUAAAUGUAACACUGCAGUUUUAGAGCUUUAUUAAGACCUAAUACAUGAUCGAAACCUCAUAGUUGUCUUAAGAUAGGUCUAGAACACGAGAAUAAUUUUAAAACCCUGCACAACCUUUUGGUAAUACUAUCUUAUAACCUCAUAGGUAUCUCAAAAUAACUCUAGCAGCCAAAAUUUUCAUUAUCUUCAACUACCCUUGAACCUUAGCAUUGUUUAUCCCAAAUUAGGUAAGCAGUCCUGAAGCACUACACAAGGACCCAUGAGUUUCCCAACUUUCUGUUAAUUUAAAGGAGUGCGCUUGUGCUU
This 358-nucleotide long non-coding RNA is filed under the name Carica papaya (papaya). RNAcentral describes it as "long non-coding RNA (CPAP_LNC014870)". The record is from RNAcentral. Lineage: Eukaryota; Viridiplantae; Streptophyta; Magnoliopsida; Brassicales; Caricaceae.